AGAGAUUCAUAAAACGAGAGGUGAUAUCGGGGAUGGUCCUAUCUUUACGGGAGGCGUGUGUAGAGCCCCGUGAUCGAUCACCUGUUCCGUUUCGAAAUACGGCGGCAAGCCGGAUAUGUACUCUGUGUUGUUGAUAAAAAAAUAAUAGAAAUAAUAGCUUAUUCUGGAGCAUCGCGUUUAUACAAUUGCUUUAAAGAAACCAUUACAGUCUUCGUUUGGAAUUGGACACUGGAAUCACUUGUUCGGGUGAUUCACGGAUUCCCACGGAAUGCAUGGAUUGAAAAAGACGUACAUUUCUCCAAAGCGCUGUCACUUUCUUACUGCCUGAAAACUAACCCUACUCGAUAUCUUUGAGGCCUGGUUUCCCUCCGCUCAAACCAAUCCGGGAAAGUAUAACAGUGCUGCUCUCGCUGCAGGUAACUUUCUUCAUCUACUGCCAUAAGGUGUUCAAGUUUCAUAAGGCUUAGCGUGGGGAUGGUAGCUGGACAGAAGUAAAGGAGGGAUCUGUUUCCCCCGAUACCGGAAUCCAGGCCCAUUAAUCACUCCCAGAUAAGCCGCAGCAUGUUCUCCACCGACCCUCUUGUUCUUUUUCGACAAGCAUUUUUCUUCAUUCUUGCUGAUCUGUCGUCUUGGACAUUUGACUUUGAGGUGGGGAUUUUAUUCCAGUAUUUUCUGGAAUAUUAUUCUGCAACUGAGAAUUUUAUUUAUUUAUUUUGUACAGGCCUGGUAUUGGUUCUGGAGAAGCAGCUUGUCAGUAACAUUUUGUUCCCACAGAAGAAGGGCUACACCAGUCUAGAGGAAUCAUUCCAGAACUGGGAGGCCCUCUCAGAGAAACAUCUAUCACUUCAUUUUUGGCUUGGAGCUCGGGAUGGCAAAAUCUCUCUGUGAGGACCUGAGUUCUGUCCCCGUGCUGAAAGCCCUAAAAGUUCAGAGAUACAGGCCAGAGAAUGGCCAUGCAGACUUUUAAAAGUGAUUCAUAAAACUUUAAAUUCACAUUCUAAAAGCAACAUGAAGCCUACGCAAUAAAGCCGGGAUUUGGAUAAUGGG
Long non-coding RNA from Anguilla anguilla (European eel), 1047 nucleotides. RefSeq lists it as uncharacterized. The transcript is spliced from 4 exons. The record is from RefSeq and is a predicted model, not a curated record. NCBI's taxonomy places the organism in Eukaryota, Metazoa, Chordata, Actinopteri, Anguilliformes, Anguillidae.